Methylobacterium tarhaniae is the source of this 69-nucleotide non-coding RNA. NCBI's taxonomy places the organism in Bacteria, Pseudomonadati, Pseudomonadota, Alphaproteobacteria, Hyphomicrobiales, Methylobacteriaceae. The record is from Rfam.
CAACUUGAGAGUUUGAUCCUGGCUCAGAGCGAACGCUGGCGGCAGGCUUAACACAUGCAAGUCGAGCGG